RNAcentral lists this ribosomal RNA (445 nucleotides) under uncultured bacterium. Its description in RNAcentral is "partial 16S ribosomal RNA". It matches the Rfam family "Bacterial small subunit ribosomal RNA", at positions 29 to 523 of the family's 1533-position model. The record is from RNAcentral.
AACGAACGCUGGCGGCAGGCUUAACACAUGCAAGUCGAACGCCCCGCAAGGGGAGUGGCAGACGGGUGAGUAACGCGUGGGAACAUACCUCUCGGUACGGAAUAGCUCAGGGAAACUUGAAUUAAUACCGUAUACGCCGUAUUGGGAAAGAUUUAUCGCCGAGAGAUUGGCCCGCGUUAGAUUAGCUAGUUGGUGGGGUAAUGGCCUACCAAGGCUACGAUCUAUAGCUGAUCUGAGCGGAUGAUCAGCCACACUGGGACUGGGACACGGCCCAAACUCCUACGGGAGGCAGCAGUGGGGAAUCUUGGACAAUGGGCGCAAGCCUGAUCCAGCCAUGCCGCGUGAAUGACGAAGGCCUUAGGGUUGUAAAGUUCUUUCACCGGGGAAGAUAUGACGGUACCCGGAGAGGAAGCCCCGGCUAACUUCGUGCCAGCCGCCGCUGUAA